This 36-nucleotide small RNA is filed under the name Arabidopsis thaliana (thale cress). RNAcentral's name for it is "ATSL248510". The record is from RNAcentral. Lineage: Eukaryota; Viridiplantae; Streptophyta; Magnoliopsida; Brassicales; Brassicaceae.
GCUGAGCUCUUUCUCUACCGUCCAUCUUUUAUCAAG